This 76-nucleotide transfer RNA is filed under the name Opitutaceae bacterium. Its description in RNAcentral is "tRNA-Ala". It matches the Rfam family "tRNA". Rfam says of the family: Transfer RNA (tRNA) molecules are approximately 80 nucleotides in length. Their secondary structure includes four short double-helical elements and three loops (D, anti-codon, and T loops). The record is from RNAcentral. Lineage: Bacteria; Pseudomonadati; Verrucomicrobiota; Opitutia; Opitutales; Opitutaceae. RNAcentral also lists the same sequence under 1 other name.
GGGCCCUUAGCUCAGUUGGCAGAGCGCCUCAAUGGCAUUGAGGAGGUCAGCGGUUCGACCCCGCUAGGGUCCACCA